AUUGAACGCUGGCGGCGUGCCUUACACAUGCAAGUCGAACGGCAGCGGGGACUCCGUUCGGCCGGCGAGUGGCGAACGGGUGAGUAAUGUAUCGGAACGUACCUUUCAGUGGGGGAUAACGUAGCGAAAGUUACGCAAAUACCGCAAAUUCUCUGAGGAGGAAAGCAGGGGACCUUCGGGCGUUGCGCUGAUGGAGCGGCCGGUAUCAGAUUAGCUAGUUGGUGGGGUAAGGGCUCACCGAGGGUACGAUCUGUAGCGGGUCUGAGAGGAUGAUCCGCCACAGUGGGACUGAGACAGGGCCCAGACACACACGAUAUGCGGCAGUGGGGAAUUUUGGACAAUGGGCGAAAGCCUGAUCCAGCCAUGCCGCGUGGAUGAAGAAGGCCAGCGAGUUGUAAAGCUCUUUCGAACGGGAAGAAAUCAUGAGCGCUAAUAUCCCUUGUGGAUGACGGUACCGUAAUAAGAAGCACCGGCUAACUACGUGCCAGCCGCCGCAGUAA
Molecule: ribosomal RNA, 500 nt
Filed under: uncultured bacterium
Lineage: Bacteria
Description: partial 16S ribosomal RNA
Rfam family: Bacterial small subunit ribosomal RNA
Source: RNAcentral